UUAUUUCGGUGAAAUCUAAGUGUUAAGUGAUAAUAGGUUUUUAGUCAAUUAUCCAAAAACACCAAUCAUGUCGUUGUAGUAUUUUAGGUUGUCAAUCCAAAUAGGUGUGAUGCAAACAGAUGAGAUGUGAUCAGAAGUCACUAAGUCAAGCCAAGCAAUAACAGUUUUGGGGUUUCUAACAGUCCUAAGCGAACAUGCAGAAAACAGAAACAAUAACAGAAUUACUAAAAUCACUCAACCACAACAGGCUGAUGCCAGAAGUAAGAUAUGGUCGAGUAACAGACAGGAAAUAUGACAACUGUACUCGACUGCAUAGUCUGUUGCCAGACACUGAGUGUGGUCGAGUAAGUUGAUCGAGUAAUUGCAAAAACGAAGAGACAUGCAAUGAGAACAAUUAAGCGAUAACGAUAAAACAGAGAAAUCAAAUAGACGAGAAAUUCCUAAGGAUGGGGUAAUCGAAUAAAGUGGUAUCCUAGCCUAUCCGAAUGGUUAACAAGCGCAAUCAAGCUAUCCCUAGACAACAUGUUCAACAAU
Molecule: small RNA, 534 nt
Filed under: Arabidopsis thaliana (thale cress)
Lineage: Eukaryota; Viridiplantae; Streptophyta; Magnoliopsida; Brassicales; Brassicaceae
Description: ATSL089140
Source: RNAcentral